UGUAAAGUUCAAGCUCCGAUUAUGAGGGCGAAACCGCGAAUGGCUCAUUAAAUCAGUCAUAAUCUACUUGAUUGAUUAAAGGUUACAUGGAUAACUGUGGUAAUUCUAGAGCUAAUACAUGCACAAAUGGGGCGACUCCUUUCACGAGGAGAAGCUCUGCGUUUAUUAGACUAAGACCAAUGAUUGUCCGCAAGGACUUUCAACUUUAAGGUGACUCUGAGUAAAUAACGGGUGAAAGCCCGUGCUGCCGACCUGACAUACCAAAUGGAGUUGCAAAACUUCAGUCAGGCGAAUCAAUCGAGUGUCUGCUCUAUCAACUGUGGAUGGUAGGAUAAUUGCCUACCAUGGUGAUGACGGGUAACGGGGAGUUAGGGCUCGACUCCGGAGAACAAGCCUGAGAAACGGCUAGUAGGACUAAGGUCUGCAGCAGGCGCGAAACUUACACAAUGCUAGAUUACCUAUAGCGAUGUAGUGAAGAAAAAUAACGAUGUACUUCCAUUUAAACAUGGUAGUACAAUUGGAAUGAGACGACUCUAAACCAGUUAGUCGAGUAACAAAUGGAGGGCAAGUCUGGUGCCAGCAGCCGCGGUAAUUCCAGCUCCAUUAGCAUACAUUAAAGUUGUUGCGGUUAAAAAGCUCGUAGUUGAAUUUUAGGCGGGCUCUAUUGGGAUGCAAUCGUUAAGGCUUACUUGUUUCCUCUGUUAAACAAUGUUUAUCAUGUUCUUGUAUAGCUGGUUGUAUUUUCCCUAUAGGAACCCGUUGUUUCGUCACUUAUUCGAGUGCGAAGCGUGCUGGAACAUAACGAACUUCGGUUCAAUGUUACAGCAAGUUUACCUUGAGAAAAUUAGAGUGCUCACAGCAGGCAGUUGGGGUGUAAAAACCUCUUUUUGCUUGAAUAAUGUUGCAUGGAAUAAUAGAAUACGGCCUCGGUUCUAUUCUGUUGGUCUUAUAGAACAACAAACAAGUUGGUUAAAGCGAUCAAAAGUUUGCUUGCGAGUGUGGCUUUAUAGCUUAGUUUUGGUAUAGUUUUGUUGUCUGGGGCCUAAAAAUCUCAGUACCAAGCUAUUGCUAAUUCUAACUUUUAGUCAUUUAAAGCACUCCUAGUUAAACUAGCUUUCUAAUCAACUGAGGCAAUGGUUAAAAGAAAUAGUCGCGGCGGCAUCAGUACUGCAUCGUGAGAGGUGAAAUUCUUAGACCGAUGCAAGACUAACUGAAGCGAAAGCGUUUGCCGAGGAUAUUUUCAUUAAUCAAGAACGAAAGUUAGAGGUUCGAAGGCGAUCAGAUACCGCCCUAGUUCUAACCAUAAACGUUGCCAACUAGCAAUUGGGUUGCGAUUCCUUUAAUCGAAGCGUAAAAAACUUCGAUCAUUAUGAUCCACCCAGCGGCUCUCGUAGGGAAACCAAAGUGUUUGGGUUCCGGGGGAAGUAUGAUUGCAAAGUUGAAACUUAAAGGAAUUGACGGAAGGGCACCACCAGGAGUGGAGCCUGCGGCUUAAUUUGACUCAACACGGGGAAACUUACUAGAUUAGAACUCUGGAAUGAUUGACAGAUUGAUAGCUCUUUCUUGAUUCAGAGGAUGGUGGUGCAUGGCCGUUCUUGAUUCGUAUUCCGAAACGUCUGCUUAAUUGCGAUAACGAGUGAGACCUCACCCAACUAACUAGUCGUUUGGUGCGCUGUGGAACGCUAAAGUCUUGAUAGGAUUUGGUUAGAGUAAGUGUGAGCAAUCAUAACUGCUUUGGCUGCCUGUUUAAGAUGUUCUCUGCUCGCCAGCGGACUUCUUAGAGGGAUAAACGGUGUUUUAGCCGUAAGAAACGAGGCAAUAACAGGUCUGUGAUGCCCUUAGAUAUUCUAGGCCGCACGCGUGCUACAAUGGCGUGUGCAGAAAGCUUGUUCGAGGUUUGUCUGGAGAGAACUGGCUGUUUGGCUGGCGUUUGCUCGCAAGGGUAGAUGUUAGUCGGCGGAGAAGUGACUCCAGUUAGCAAGCCGAGAGAAACCGCAGUCGAAAGAUUGUGGCAAUCAGAAAUACACGCCGUGAUUUGGGAUUGGGGAUUGCAAUUGUUGCCCAUGAACGAGGAAUUCCCAGUAAGCGCAAUUCAUCAUAUUGCGUUGAUUACGUCCCUGCCCUUUGUACACACCGCCCGUCGCUACUACCGAUUGGAAGUUUUAGUGAGGCAUUUGGACCUGCCGUCCACGGAGGGGGCAACUCUUCCAGGCUGGCGGGGAAGUCUGUCGAACUCAAAUUUCUAGAGGAAGUAAAAGUCGUAACAAGGUUUCCGU
Molecule: ribosomal RNA, 2276 nt
Filed under: Phyllocoptes sp. GD109
Lineage: Eukaryota; Metazoa; Arthropoda; Arachnida; Trombidiformes; Eriophyidae
Description: partial small subunit ribosomal RNA
Rfam family: Eukaryotic small subunit ribosomal RNA
Source: RNAcentral